RNAcentral lists this transfer RNA (71 nucleotides) under Ovis aries (sheep). It matches the Rfam family "tRNA". From Rfam's summary of the family: Transfer RNA (tRNA) molecules are approximately 80 nucleotides in length. Their secondary structure includes four short double-helical elements and three loops (D, anti-codon, and T loops). The record is from Rfam by way of RNAcentral. Lineage: Eukaryota; Metazoa; Chordata; Mammalia; Artiodactyla; Bovidae.
UCCCUGGUGGCUCAGUGGUAAAGAAUCUGCCUGCCGUGCAGGAGAUGCAGGUUCAAUUCCUGGGUCGGGAA